Felis catus (domestic cat) is the source of this 73-nucleotide transfer RNA. It matches the Rfam family "tRNA". From Rfam's summary of the family: Transfer RNA (tRNA) molecules are approximately 80 nucleotides in length. Lineage: Eukaryota; Metazoa; Chordata; Mammalia; Carnivora; Felidae. The record is from Rfam.
GCCUGGCCGGCUCAGUUGGUAGAGCAUGCAACUCUUAAUCUCAAGGUCAUGAGUUCAAGCCCCACGUUGGGCA